RNAcentral lists this ribosomal RNA (253 nucleotides) under uncultured bacterium. RNAcentral describes it as "partial 16S ribosomal RNA". It matches the Rfam family "Bacterial small subunit ribosomal RNA", at positions 524 to 776 of the family's 1533-position model. The record is from RNAcentral.
UACGUAGGGGGCAAGCGUUGUCCGGAAUCAUUGGGCGUAAAGAGCGCGUAGGCGGCCCAGUAAGUCCGCUGUGAAAGUUCAGGGCUCAACCCUGGAAUGCCGGUGGAUACUGUCGGGCUAGAGUCCGGAAGGGGCGAGUGGAAUUCCUGGUGCAGCGGUGAAAUGCGCAGAUAUCAGGAGGAACACCAAUGGCGAAGGCAGCUCGCUGGGACGUGACUGACGCUGAGACGCGAAAGCGUGGGGAGCAAACAGG